AUCAUAGUUAUUUAAAAAAAAAACGCCUUUUUUAUUUUCGUUGGACACUUGUUUAUUAUAAAUAUUGUAAUUAGAUUUGAGCAAAACGUUUUCACUUGACAGUUAAGAUUCGUCUCAUCGGGUAAGGUGUUCGGAAGGCAAGAGAGAGAGAUGGGGAAAACUGUCCAAAUUCCAGGAAAGCAUCCAGACAUACCCCUGCUGCAGAGGAUGGAGGUUGAUGUCACUGAGGACCUUCAGGAGGUGAAGAGCCAGCAAGCCACGCUUUUUGCCUCGGAGACCUCCAAGAUAAUCUUCUGGUCCAGGGUCUGCACCGUGGAGCAGGAUGAGCUGUGCUCCUAGAAGGUGCACAAGGAGAGCUCUGUGCUCAGCAGCCUGAAGGAUGAAGACAGCUUGGUAACAUCAUCUCAGCCUGACAUCAGCAAAUCCUUUUUGCCAGACUGUAUGACACGAGGCACACUGAUAGCAUGGCCUCCCAGUCCUCUAUCAUUGAGGUCUUAAAGGACAGCACAUAGGAGAGGCUGGACCAGCCGCUAUCUCUAGAUGAGCUGACCAGUGCCCUUGAGUCCUUUUGAAAAGAAUAAAAUUUCCAGUAGCAACGGUU
Chiloscyllium plagiosum (whitespotted bambooshark) is the source of this 601-nucleotide non-coding RNA. The record is from RefSeq and is a predicted model, not a curated record. NCBI's taxonomy places the organism in Eukaryota, Metazoa, Chordata, Chondrichthyes, Orectolobiformes, Hemiscylliidae.